UCUCUGUGAGUAGGUUAGCCAUGCGUAUCAUGGUGAAAUCCAGUGAAUGAUAAUGAACUAAGCAACUGUGUGUGUGUGUGUGUGUGUGUGUGUGAGGGAGGAGGGGAGGCAGUGGCACGCUUGCUGAAUCACUCCCACUGUCCAUCCUUCCAUCCACCUAUCUGUCUAUUCACCCAUCUAUUCCUCCUCCACCUACUCGUUGGUGGUGUGUUGGCUAGAAGGACAGCCCCCAUGCUCUGACACACUCACACACGUAGACACUCACCUCCGCGAUGUGUCACUACCCAUUCCACCUGCCUCUUCCCGUCAUUCGCUCGCUGUUCCAUCUACCUACACUUGUUCUUUUCAGUCCCUCCAUCCCUCAGCUUCUCCUUUUUAUGUUCUCUCUGAGUCUUUCUCUUCACCCCUCCUCACCCUCAGCCCCCCCUACGCUGUGUGUCACCGCUGCCGGGAAGAAAGAAAAAUGCUCUGCCCAACAAGAGUGAGAAGAGAAAGGAGAAAAGAGUCAAAGAGAAGAAGAUAGUGAAAGCCGGAGUUCAUUUGGAGCGCAGUGAUGCCUCCAUUCACCAUGAGCCAGACUUGAUGGAAUAUCCCGGACGGUGCAGGCAGAAGGAGGAAGAAGAAGUAGAAGAGAAGGACUGAAGAAUAACAGGACUGAGAAGGCAGGACGGCUUGGCGCUUGCCUCAGGAGGCUCCAUCCAGACCAGUCUCAUUGUCCUCACACACACCUCGCCGCGGAACGUGUGCGCGCAAGUGCGUGCAUGUGUCUGUGUGAGGACGGGGGUGCAGCCACUCAUUUCUACAUCACAGUGCAGCAGAGCGCCAGGUUCCACUCUGAGCUUCACGUGGAUGCGGUGCAUCAGAUAGGCCAUGCCUUUCACCUGUGCCUGUUUCUGCGGCCUGAACGGCUUCUGCCGCAGACGGGAGAAGAAGAAAAAGGAGCAAGAGGACGAAGAUGAGGGUGAGGAGGAAGAACAAUGGAGGGAUCAGGAGACCGUGGUGUGACAGUGUCGCUGUCUCCCCUCCCCUACCCCGGUGCUUCAGCCUUUAACAGACUGCAAUGUACAGCCCAGGUUACCGCUGCUCAGUACAGACUGUCUAAUAUUAUGUGUGGGAACAAUAUAAGAGGGAUGUAAGGGGCUUCAGCAUGCACAGGCUUUUAUGCAAAGUUCUGAAUUAAUUGGACAUUUUUCAUUCAUUCAUCUCUGUUGCUGAAAUCCUUGAACCAGCUGCUGAAUAUUUUUACAUUAGUACCCAGGAGUCAAACUUCAGGUUCUAUUGUGUUUCUACUUUUUAAACAUCCCAAACCCAAGAACUGCAAAGCUGUCUUGAGAAAUAUUCCUCAAGAUGUACCAGCAAACAAAAUGAAAGCCUGUGAACUCUUAGCUAAUCCCCAUUACCCAACUCCACUUUCCCCCUGGCAGCUGGCUGAGAACUUUGCUUCAACUGAUGUGGUUCUUAACAAAACAUAUUUCUGUUUGAUUCAUUUUUUUUGCCAUACCUAGUGCCUAUAUAAGGUGCCAAAAGGCGAGAGGCUCUAGAAAUCCAUUAUUUCUCUCUGUCACACCUCUCAGUGAUAGCCCAUCUCUCCCUUCUCCUCCUUAAAUAGCAGCUCCCACACAGAGUCUGAAUUGGAGCCAGAGUUCAGUGGAGCUCUGCGCCUCCUCACCUACCUGCUUAUGCCAGAUCAACUUAGUGAAAACUUCAGCCAAGUGAGAAAGUGAGCAGUAAUUUCCAAAGUCACCCAUGGAGGACCGGAACCCGUCUCGCUUUUCACACUGAGCUGGGCCUGAUCUAAAGCUGAGCAGCUGUCCAAUCAGCAGCUUAGCUGGAGUGUGAAGAUAUGAGUCAAGGGUCAGUAUGAGCAACAGGCUUUGUGAGACGCCCCUGCUCUGGUGCCGUACUAUCUCUGACUCAUUAAUAGGCAGACAAGUAAUUACACACACACACACACACCAAUGUGAACACAUCCAUUAAUGUCCACUGGUGGGAGUGGCGUGUCUGUCCGUAAAUGCCACUGCGGUGCGCUUCCAGCUGUCACCUGUUUGAGUGUGUGACUCCUUAAGCAUGUGUGUCUGUGCUUGUGUUUCUUCUUGGCUGCAACAAUAGAGUUUCAAACCUGAAACAAGUUGUUAAGAUAUCUAUUCAUCUUUUACGAACUGCCUUUUCAGAACAUGCAUUGAGACACAAAGACACACACAUUCAUAGGUCUCAUUAGUUUGUGUGAUUAUGCAUGGCACGUCCAGUCAGGCAGUGGAGAUGUAAUUAACCUUUUCCAGCAGGAAACAGAUGCCUGGAUGUCACACACAAACACAGACAAUGACAUACACACACAGAUGCACACACAGAUGCACACACACACGCACACACACACGUCUGCUGUCAGGGAAACAAAGCCAACGUCAUGGUGUCACGGAAACAAAGCCCCAGAAGCGCCGCCUGGCACUCUGUGAUAAUCCCCUCACACAUAUUUACAUUCACGAUUUAGAAUACGCCUCGGUGUUGCUGUCUUCACCCCCCAGGCACGCUGUGCCCCCAACCCUUCCCCACUCCAGCCCCUAGUCAUCCACCUCUUUCUCAGCCGUCCACCUUUUGGCCUUUCCCUCGUUCAUUCACUUUUUUCUUCCACCAUCUCUUCAUCCUCUAAAUCUUUGACAUCUCUCCCAAAACUCUCUUUGUCAUCAAGUUCAUCUGAUUAUUAUCAGUGGAUAGUACAUGGCCUUGCAUGGCAGCUCCCACUGAUUAGCCCUCUGACUCUUGAUAUCAGGGAUUUCUUCAGGCAGGCAAAAAGCUGCUUUGUGACAGAUUAAUGUACAGCUGUCACCAGGUCGUUGGUGUGCCUCUGUCCCUGCUUGGAACAGAUUGUGUAUUUAUUCAUUCUCCUGCUACAAGCGGCAAAAUGAGACAAAGCAAAAGUCAUUUCACAGUAUAGAGCACCUAUUAUGAUUCACUGUGUUACGACACAGCCCUAAUGAGAAACAGAGCGAGAGAGAGGAGGGGCUGGAGGAGGAUAAGAGAGGAAGAAAGGAAAAGAUGGUAAUGAGACCAAGAGUCAGAUAUGGAAGAGGGGGCUAAUGCUAGACAGAGCAUUCAUGCUAAUUGGCUACAGCGGAUAACUUUCUGAGCUGGGGAUGUGUGUGUGCAUGUAGUGUGGGCAGAGAGAAAAGAACAGCCUGAUCUGUUGGCGUUACACUCGUUUAACACUCCCUCCAUUUCACCUUUUUAAUGAGAGGAAUAUUCGCUCCAGUAAUGGCGAAAGACUUGGUAACGAUUUGUUGCUCUCUCUCACACACACACACACUUGGAAUUGGUAAGAUGGGGGGAGGGGCAGGAAGGAAAUAGUUUUGGCAGAGGUGAGUGUGUUUUCCCAUAAGCACCACAACCCAGCCUUUUAUGGAUCAUGGCAAUUUUCAGGGAUUGUAACUCAAGGACAAACAGCUAAAAAUAGAGGGGUGGUGCACGACUCUUGUGAUAGCAGGGAGGAGAGGAGUGAGAUGGAAGGAUGCGCGUGAGCAUGUGUGUGGGUGGGGACAGUGGAAACGAGUCUUGUCGCAUUAGAUUUGGGUCAGAAACGAGGGAAGAGCCGACGAAGCGGAGAACGUUACAGACGUUAGGGAGAUCCAUCACCCACUGCUCCCUGCACCUCACGCUCAUUUCCUUCGACACCUUGCCACCCUGUCCCCUCUCUCUCUCACUUCACACACACACCUGCAGGGGAUAGGAAAAAGGGCAUCGGAACAGGGAGCGGGGAUGGUGAGAAAACCACUGGAAAGACAAAGGAGAAGUCGCAGGGCAGAAAACGACGGAAACGUAAUAUGAGAGAUUAAACCACAGCUUGAUUAUAAUAGAUUAUAAUAUGAAUAUAUGCAGUUCUAUCCAAGACCCUGCUGUAUAAUGAGUGCAUACAUACAUUUAUACUAUGAAUGAAAUGAUCCCAGUAGGAAAUGAACUCUAAUGGUGAAGCCUUGCUGUUGCUACUGAACUGAAUCAGAGAGUCAGUUCAGAAAUAACAUUUGACAGUUUCAGAAACAUGCUUAUUGACUUUUCUGUCAAAAGUUAGAUAGGAAGAACUAUACCCCCCCAAUACUGUUUAGAUGUUUAGUAUGGAUGUAGAAGGAAGCAGAAAUCAAUCAUCUUAGCAUAAAGACUGCAAGCAAACAGAACUCAUGGCAGGAAUGUGACUGAGCAUAUUUCUCAGAAGACCAGACCUUUCUCUUAAUCCACAAGGUAGUGUGUUGGUCUACUCUUUGUGUCACAUAUGUGAUUGAACUGUUUAACCCUGUCCAUGACUGUGCCUUGCUCAUGGAAAUAAAACCCCCUAAACCCGACAACUGAAAUUCCCCUGAGAAGUGAAAUCUCAUGCAGAAGUGCCAAAAGAAAUGCUACCACUGCAAUUGUCACACAGUAACAUUGCCUGAAUUAUGAAUGUGCAGCAGCAGGAUGUAAAACAGUCUGCAAGCGCUGCUCACCUACAAAUCGCAAAAGCUGGCAGCAUCGCAUUUCAAAAUUUGCAAGUAAAUUGCAAAUUGUAGAUACAUUUCCAGUUUCUUCAAGACACACAAUCAGCACUGGGACACAAGAGUCACAUUUGCUUUGAUUAAUAAAAUGUAAAAUUAACGUGAAUGUAGCCUACAUGAUCUCAUACUACAAAUCACGGCUUACAUGUUGCAUGUAGUAUAUUUUAGUAUAAAGAUAAAAUGCUUUAUGUUCCAGACAUCCACCUACUUUAGGGACUAUUCCUUGGAUUAGAAAGUAGGUGAUUUCAGAUGUGGCCUACCACAAAACAUAUUAGUUUAUUUAUUUGCUUGGUAAUGUGAGUGAAUCAACGCACUUCUGUGGUAAAUUUAUGGUUCGCAAAACACUAAAAUUCCUGCCCAUGCAUAAAAUUUGACAUAUCUUUGAACUGAGGCAACAGCACUGUCUACAGAAAUUUACAGUCCAAUAAAUAAUGUUUUCAUUAUUAGGCUGAGUAUCUGUCGCCUUUAUUUACUUCAGUGAUUAGACACAGCAAUGAUGAAGAUAUUAUUGCAUUUAAGCAGCAAAACAUCCUGUAAUAAACUACUCAGCAAACUCAAGGUCCAGUUAUUAUUUGAUGAAGGGAUCUCAUGGUCCUCAUCAGCUCUACAAAUCAAAACAGAUUCUUAUAACAACUAAGUCAUUGGAAUCCCCAGAGCAAAACUAUUAAGUGGACCUUGAGUUAAAAGGUUGUUUUUUUUUUUUGUAAAGUCAUACUCAUUUUUAGACAUUUAGACAUUGAGACAUUUAUUGCAUGACAUUGUCCUCUCUACCUCCACGUGUCCUGUCUGCCACUAUCAAAUAAAACCAAAAUGCAAAGUAGCAUCCACACAGGUGGCAGCGGCAAAUAAUAAUGUAUGUACACUUGAACAUUAGCUACCCAAACUCACCUUGCCUCUGCCAUCACGUUUUCUCAGAAAUCAGUGGAGGCAUUAGCGGUGAACGCUUGCCACGUUAAAGUACCUAUAGAGCUAUCCAGGCAAUUAGAUCCCUGACAGCCUUAGUGCCUCACUUCAGGGUAUGCAACCUUCAACAGACAUAAAGCUUUUCUUUUCCCUUCAGCAUCUCCUGUGUUGUCCAUUCAUUAUUUCUUCCUUGCUCACCCACAUCUGUUCAGUUUUCUUAAUGAAGACAAAAGUGAUGGUCCCACCAAGGCUAAUUAGGAGGACUGAGAUGCAGAGCACUGAUAGACUGGUGAUAGAGUCAGAAGGGAAGCACCAACGCAGACCGCUUAGAGCUCUCACCAGUCCCAGAGCAUCAGAGUGGGAAAUGGGGAAAAGGGAUGCAGAGAGAGGGGAUACAGUACAAAUGAAUGGAUGAGGAGCAGAGAGAUAUAUAGCGUAAUUGAGAUUGUAAUGGGUUUUGUCAGGAGCACCUGUCAGGGUCAGGUUAAAACAGCUUCAGUGAGAGAGGAAGAGAAAGAUGAGAAGAUGGGAAGAGAGAAGGGGCCAAUUGGAGUCGGGAUCCCCAUGAGGAGAGGGCCUAGUCCAUGCCAACCUCACCUGAUUGCCAAUUUGUGCCAGUCUGCAGAUAUCAAAUACCAAUAUGUCUUGCCCGCAGACACACAAACACCUCUGACUGGAGAGUGCUAACCAGCUAAAAGCACCCAUACACAUUCAGUCACACACAUGCACAAACUCACUGACUGAUUAGACACAUAUAGCUGCUUAACAACAUGUUCAAGGUGCAGACCUGUACCAUGCCAUUGGAAGAUAAAUCUGCCACUGUUAAAUAGCUAGUUCUUCCCAGGUCCUGGAUAAAAAUAAGGUAGAGCACUGCUUAGAUUGCAGCCUGUUAUGCCAACCUAAGACCUAUGCUAUGUUCAUUACCGGCCCUGCCCCAACCCCAACCAAUCCUAUCUCUCUUGAUGUUCUCCUGCCAAAACCAAAUGCUCUAUUUGUGAUGGAAAAGCAAUUCUGACACCCUUGAGGUCGAUGUCUAAAAAGUGAUGAAAUUAAGUUGAGUCAAAUUUAUUUAUAAAUCACUGUUAAAGCUGUAUCUGGCAAUUCAACAUGCUGACAGGCCCAAAUGGCAGCGAGACAUAACAUAAAUGACUGAAAUGCAAGCCCUCACUACUGAGAAGGUCUGUCCCAGUAAGUCUCAGUAAAUGUUACACUUGUGGUCCAGAUAGGGUCCAGGUGGUGAUGAGGUUCAGCCAUCACCCUGGGGACAGCGUUCUCAAUCAGAACUGUUUAGGAUUGCACUUUUUUUCAAUUUUGUUGAGAAUAUACUGUGCCAUCAAACAUUUCGACGGCAGAAUUUUUUUUAGGCAAACAGUAAACAUUUGCACUUUGGCUGAGAGAAAAAGUGUAUUUUAAAUGGUAAUGCUUUAACAAAUGUGCUUCAUACAAAUGAAAAGCCAUACCUCAGAUAUGAAAAAGUUGAUUUAUUAUCUGGUUGAAGACAAGGACAGUCCACUGGCUUUUCUAGUUACUGCACUAUUACACCAUAAUUCAUGCUUGGUGCUUUACCUCUCCCCACACAGGGUGAUUAUAAAACUGUGCCUCAAAAGAGAGAUUAAAAGAAGAAUGGUCAAACUGAGGGCGAAGGUCAAGAUCUAGUUCUACUCACAAGUCUCCCACUACACAGUGUAAUUUAUAAGAAAAACAUACCUGCUCCUUUUGUAGCCUGAUGUGAUAUCUAUGCCACUAAGCUAUCCUAGUCCAGUGAAGCUAGUUUGCCAGCUAAAAACCAGCUGUCAUGUUGCAUUAUAUUAAGUGAUAUUAUUAUGUAACAUGUUACCAAAGUAAUGCAACACUGCCUAGUAUGGAUCAUGCUUAAAAAACCCUACAGUUGCCAUAAUGCAACUCAAAAGUGUCUUGGAGUAGACCCUGCCUGCCUGCUGCCCAUAUCCUUUAAAAAAUAUUUUGGAAGUCAAGUCAAUGUUUAUCUACAGAAUGGGCUCAUGAUGCUCCACUGCUGAAACACCAUGAUUAUAUUUUUGAUUAACCUAUAAACACAAACCGAAUGUCUAAUACUUUUUAUCCCAAUUUAGUUUGGUGAUUGUGAAAUAGCAUUCAUAAAUUCCUCAAGAACUUUUUAGUAGGUUAUGCAGGCAUGAAUACAGCAUCACAGCACCAAAUAAUUAACUCUUUUGAUUUAGAUCCUCACUUCUGGAAAAAAAUGUCAAAGAUCUUCAGAUAAUUUGCAACAAGGGCUGGAUUGGUUUUAUUGUAUCCACAGUAUUUAUUCUUCUGCACAAAUUAACGAGUUAUUCUACCACCUCCAUUAUCUUGGGGGCAACAGUACAUGCCAUAUUUAGGAACGCUUGCUAUUAACACUUUAGACAGUUUUGUUUUUUCAAUUCCAGUGCCCCACAUACUGCACAGUUUUGUAAAUACCAGCAACAUUACUGGGGCUCUGGAAUGUAACCUUGUUCAUUGGCAUAAUCUGAAAUUUGAAGCAGUUUUACAUCAAGUGUCAUAAUUUAGUUAGAGUAAUGAGAACAUUUUUGAAAAACUGGCAGCAGAGUCAGCAGCAGCUCUGCCAGCAAAAUACUCAAUUUAUGUACAGUUAGAAGAAUGCUGACAAUCUCCUGGUGCCUUCAGGUUUAGUGGGCUGAAGGUUAAAGGAGAUCAUCAUCAUCACCUUUAACAGAAUCCAUAACUCUUAAAAACUUCUACAAUGACUUCUGGCUAUCUGACCUCACACAUACCAUGUUCAGCCGUACUAAUGCUACUUAUAACUACUGUGCAGCUAAAAUAAGGAAAGAAAUGAGGGGGCACAGAGAUGUGUUUUAAAGUAAACAGAGAAAGACUUUUCUAAUUGUCAAGGGCUGUAAACAGGUCAUGUGUCCCACAUAUCUGAUGCCACUUCACCAUCAUCGAUGGAUAAUAAAUCAGUUUCUCUCCCCCUUUUUCCCUCAGUCUUUCCUCUUCGUCGUGCCUCACCUCCUGUUCCCCCUCACACUCUGUUUCAUCUAUACACACACUCACUCCCACACACCAUUGCUGGUCGAUACCAGAGCGGGUAUUGAGCAGUGGCUGUGGUCUAAAUGAGAGUUUGAUUUCUCGUGGGGUGUUAGCCCCUGUAACCAUGGUGUUGAGUCGCCAUCAGAGACCUCUUCGUCAAACGCUCAUUGAUGAAGUGCGUGUGUGUGUGUGCGUGUGCCGCCAGCGGCCGCUUUCAGCGCCUUUUCAUUUAGUUGUGCUCAAGAACAAUACUUUUCAUUAGAGGCUGAUAGCAUUCAUUAAGAGCAAUUCAGCAGGGCCACUAAUGAGCUGAUCUGCUCUUGAACACUUCAUUCUCCUUGAAAAACAAUGAAGCAUGGUGUCACACAAGCAGACGCACACACACAAAAACACUUGAUCCAAUUGCAUCUUGAGUCAAUUCUGGAAACUGUUAUUUCAUCAGAGCUACAAAUAAGUGAAAACUAGCUGGCUGAGUCUUUGUUUAGGAAGCUCUGGCUUUGCUUUCUCUGGCAUUAAGCCUUUCUGCUCAAACAGCAAAUACUCUUUGUGUCGUUUGGGCCCAUUCAUAACAUUUACUAAGCUACGGAUAUUGUCUAUAUCAACAAAAAGCCUGUGCCUUCGAUCCAAUACGUGGCCAAGCCACUGAGCACUUAGUAAACCACUCAGCAGUUUCCAGAAUCCAGAUAUUAAUGUUGCUUCGCUCCGAGCAUCCAGACUUUACUUUUGUUUGACAGAAUUUGUGUUUGAUGUUUGUAGCAUCUUGCAAAUUCUUUCACUCCUGUUAUCCCUCUGCACUUUUGCUGCCACCAAACAGCACAGCCUGUUUCUCUGGCAUUUGAAUGAGUGUAAAGCUAUCUCCAUUUUCUAUGGAGUUUCUAUAUUAUUCAUAUCUCUGGGCCUUUGCGGCGAGAAAUAAGCGAGGCAGGGAUGGAAAGAGAAAAACAGAGAAGGAGGAGGGACCUUUGACAUUGACAAACAGCUCAACACAGUCAGAUACAUAAACAUGAGGUCAGAGAGUAUCGCAGUGGGAGACGGAGAAGGAAGAAGGAGAAAGGGUAAGAGAGAGAAAGUG
This is a long non-coding RNA of Monopterus albus (swamp eel), 9498 nucleotides long. RefSeq lists it as uncharacterized. The record is from RefSeq and is a predicted model, not a curated record. The transcript is spliced from 3 exons. NCBI's taxonomy places the organism in Eukaryota, Metazoa, Chordata, Actinopteri, Synbranchiformes, Synbranchidae.